AAGCCGGGAAAAUUGAAUUUUUUAGCGUAAGAUGACGGAAAGUAUUAAAAUUAGAUAGGAGCUGCACCGGCAUGACUGGAAAUAGCCUCACGAGAGCGUUCCAAAGAUGGCUGACAGAGCACUGACUUGCUAGAAGACUUUGCCCGUGCUCAUCUGCAGAGCUAGAGGAUUGGCAGACGGCCAAAUCCAUUUAUGACUUCACUGUCCAUGGAUAUCGAUGGCAGUGAAGUUUCCCUGGAUAAGUGCAGGGGAAAAGUUGUCAUCAUCACCAGCGUUGCCUCAAAAUGAGGCAAAACUCCAGUAAACUACUCUCAGUUUGCAGAAAUGCACGGCAAGUACGCUGAGAAAGGUUUACGCAUCCUGGCCUUCCCAUCCAACCAGUUUGGCCGUCAGGUGGUGGAGAAGGAUCUUUCCAAAUAUCUCUAAAUAGCAUCAUUAUGUGACUGUGAAAUUACCCCAAGCUGCCCCACUGCCCAUCUUCAUUCUCUCCUAAUGACAGCUGGGUAUCAGUGAUGUCGUCUCAUGGACUAAUGAUGGUUUGUUUUGAAAACCUCCUUGAGGAAAAAUCAGACCUGAUGCAUUUGGCGUGCAACCCCUCCUGGGAGCAUUAUCAGUGCCCAGCCAUCAGUCUAGAGAGAGACCCCUGCCUCUGGAUCUUCCCCUACGCUUUUACAUGAAAAUAUGGACACUUAUUUAGAAGCUAAACUUGUAGUCAUAGUGUAACAGUUAUA
Long non-coding RNA from Myxocyprinus asiaticus (Chinese sucker), 731 nucleotides. RefSeq lists it as uncharacterized. The transcript is spliced from 5 exons. The record is from RefSeq and is a predicted model, not a curated record. NCBI's taxonomy places the organism in Eukaryota, Metazoa, Chordata, Actinopteri, Cypriniformes, Catostomidae.